RNAcentral lists this ribosomal RNA (623 nucleotides) under uncultured bacterium. RNAcentral's name for it is "bacterial SSU rRNA". It matches the Rfam family "Bacterial small subunit ribosomal RNA", at positions 8 to 677 of the family's 1533-position model. The record is from RNAcentral.
AGAGUUUGAUCCUGGCUCAGGAUGAACGCUGGCGGUCUGCUUAACACAUGCAAGUCGAACGGGCUCUUCGGAGCUAGUGGCGGACGGGUGAGUAACGCGUGAGAAUCUGCCUUCAGGAGGGGGAUAACGACUGGAAACGGUCGCUAAUACCCCAUAUGCCUCCGGGUGAAAAGUAAUUCGCCUGAAGAUGAGCUCGCGUCAGAUUAGCUAGUUGGUGGGGUAAGAGCCUACCAAGGCGACGAUCUGUAGCUGGUCUGAGAGGAUGAUCAGCCACACUGGGACUGAGACACGGCCCAGACUCCUACGGGAGGCAGCAGUGGGGAAUUUUCCGCAAUGGGCGCAAGCCUGACGGAGCAAGACCGCGUGGGGGAUGACGGCCUAAUGGUUGUAAACCCCUUUUCUCUGGGAAGAAGACUGACGGUACCAGAGGAAUCAGCCUCGGCUAACUCCGUGCCAGCAGCCGCGGUAAUACGGAGGAGGCAAGCGUUAUCCGGAAUUAUUGGGCGUAAAGCGUCCGUAGGUGGUUAUUCAAGUCUGCUGUCAAAGCGUGGGGCUCAACUCCAUAGAGGCAGUGGAAACUGAGUGACUAGAGUGCGGUAGGGGUCGAGGGAAUUCCCAGUGUA